This 403-nucleotide ribosomal RNA is filed under the name uncultured bacterium. RNAcentral describes it as "bacterial SSU rRNA". It matches the Rfam family "Bacterial small subunit ribosomal RNA", at positions 355 to 776 of the family's 1533-position model. The record is from RNAcentral.
UGAGGAAUAUUCCGCAAUGGGCGAAAGCCUGACGGAGCGACGCCGUGUGGACGAUGAAGGUCUUCGGAUUGUAAAGUCCUGUCAGAGGGGAAGAUAAUGACGGUACCCUCAGAGGAAGCCCCGGCUAACUACGUGCCAGCAGCCGCGGUAAUACGUAGGGGGCGAGCGUUGUCCGGAAUUACUGGGCGUAAAGCGCAUGUAGGUGGCCUUGUAAGUCAGGUGUAAAAGGUAUGGGCUCAACCCAUAUAUGCAUUUGAUACUGCUUGGCUCGAGAGUAUUAGAAGGAAACGGAACUUACGGUGUAGCGGUGAAAUGCGUAGAUAUCGUAAGGAACACCAGUGGCGAAAGCGGUUUCCUAGAAUACUUCUGACGCUGAGGUGCGAAAGCUAGGGGAGCAAACGGG